Molecule: long non-coding RNA, 583 nt
Filed under: Dermacentor andersoni
Lineage: Eukaryota; Metazoa; Arthropoda; Arachnida; Ixodida; Ixodidae
Description: uncharacterized LOC126547707
Source: RNAcentral
UGCGAUUCGCUCAGUAGAAUCGUUCCAUCCCAUUCCACUCCGUUUUUCAGCGCACAGGUGCAAAAGCUAUUCCGAUGCUCGGGAAGAGAAGUUAAUGACAGCGCACUUUUGUAGCAAUCAGCAGUGACGGACACAGAAAUGUUUGCGCACGUCACACUGACAUAUGAGUCCGGUAUGCCAUGCCGACCUCGCAAUCUAACUGGCUGCGAAGCAGUUUCAUUUCAGACGAUCUAGAGACCAGUGCAGGAUUCCUCAUCUGAAGGACAAUGAAGCUGAUGGUGACACUCCUUGCCAUUACCGUUUCCGGUCUUUUGGUUCCAGACACUACAGCUUCCCCACAUGGUGAAAUAUCUGGAGGUGCGUCCGAGGGAACUCAGCGCUCUGACGGAAGUUCUGAGGACGCCCAAGCCCGUGUAGCUGUGGCUUGCGUGAACAACAACUGCGUAGUGUCACCGAGCGGGAAAUAAUUGAAAACCUUGAGAGAAUGCAUUUGCGACUGCAACGCAGCCUUGGCUACUUUUCGGAAGCAUCGGCAGAGUUUCUGAACCGCAGCUCCAAAUAAAUGCCCACAUGUGGAACUAAC